Long non-coding RNA from Meriones unguiculatus (Mongolian gerbil), 8520 nucleotides. RefSeq lists it as uncharacterized. The transcript has 7 exons. Lineage: Eukaryota; Metazoa; Chordata; Mammalia; Rodentia; Muridae. The record is from RefSeq and is a predicted model, not a curated record.
UCGACGACGGUCCACUGUGAACGCCGAAGCCUGGGCCGGCGCCUUCGUGCCUUGGAGAGGAUCUGCAGUUUUCUCUGUUUAAGGAAGGUUGUAGCGCUCUGUGUCCUCCUGAGCGCUAGGACGGUCCUGGGCUGGACAAAGGAAUCGGACGGUCAGAGGAGAGAGGCAAAGGAAGUUCUGCCUUAGAACUGAGCUACUGUGCUGAUUUUCUUCCGAUUCUCUUUCAAGGAUACUUGGAAUAAGGUGGCUUGACGGAGACACCCCACCACCAGCCGACUGCUUUUGUCUUGUGGGCCUACGUGUUUCCGUUUUCUUCUAAUAACUAGGGUGAUUACUUCCUACUGGUAGGUGUCGGGUCGAAAGUCCAGCUUUUGUGACAUUAGGAGAUGAUCCAAGUGGUUGAAGGACCGGUUAUUUGUUCCCCAGGCGCGGCAGAUCUGAGCCACCGUCACCCAGGGCUGGGACCCGAGGCUUGGGGAUAGCAGCAGGAGCCACCCUCCCUUAUCUAGGUUUGCAGAUUCGUGGCAAUCCCCUUUCAAGGACAGCAGCCAAAAAGCACAGCCUAGAGCAACCAAGGACCCCCACGUUGUCAGGCAUAGUGAUUAACCCAGCCGAGCAUCCUGAAGGGCCGCUGUUUAAGCUCCUGCCUGGUGCCUGCUGAGUACCUGACUUCCUGCUCAAAGGCUUGCCCAUCUGAGCCCUCAUACAGGUACCUCAUAUAGAAGACGGAUGCUAUCUGCUUCAUUUUGGGGUCAUUCGGGAAAGGUGUACUGAGCAUCUACAAGGCAUCUGCAGUUUGAAGCUCCCGUCCAGAUCCCAGGGUGCCUCUGUACACACCACUGGCCAUCUGUAGGGCAAAUAAUGAGCAAAACCAGAUAGAUGCUGGUUUGCAGAGCCACAGGAAGAAUCCACAACGGCAGCAGCCUCGAGACAGGAGUGCUGAUCGGGGUCCAGGAAUUGUUGCCUCCCUGUAUUGAAGGGUCAGGUCCUGAGUUCAAUUCCCAGCAACCACGUGGUGGAUCACAAGCAUCUAUAGUGUGAUCUGAUGCCCUCUUCUGCAAUGCAGGCAGGUGGACCUGGGCUAUGUAUGAAAGCUAGCUGAGGGAAUAAGACAGUGAGAAGCAUUCUUCCCUGGUUCCUGCCUCCAGUCUCCUGCCUUGGUUAACUUGAUGGAUGGGAAGACUGCAGACCACAAGUCGACCCCUGAAGCUGUAUCGUCUUCAUUCCCAAGACUCCCACCACCUCUAUAAAGGGUCCCUACACAGACCUCCCUGUUUCCCCACAGGAAUGAGGCUGCCCCCCACAGGGUGUGCUAAUAAACACACUCUGAUCUGUUGAUAUCUGUCUCCUCUGUAUUAUGCCAGGAUCAAGGGACCCUCAGAGACCACCAGGAGACAACUCGAUGCAAGAGCGAGAGAGCUUUAUUACAAGAGUGAUUGAACUUGGGACCCAAGUCUCACUGACACAGCAGUAGAGAAGUGGGACCUUGGGUGAGCAGGGUUUUUAGAGGGAAAAAUCACCAGCAGGGGGUUUCCAUGACAGUAAGCAGGAGGGUUCAUGCCUUGAAGUUACAGGAUUGGGUAAAAGCCAUAGGGGUGAGGUGACUUUUUACAUAAUAACAAUUGCCAUUCUUCUAAAUUACAUCUGGAAUGUUGGGGAGAAUUUUCCCAAACGAUUCUCAUUGAUUAUUGCUAGGGAGAUUGUCUCUAUUUUCUAUCAAGUAUUUAUUCUCUGAUAUUCCCUAGAGGCUGUUGCUAGGAGAGUUAACUUUGUUUUCUACCAAGUGCACAUUCUGUGAUAUUUCCUGGUACCUGAGUUCAGCUCCCGGGCAAGAUGGCUCCUCAUUUCAAAAUGGAGUCACCCAGGCAAACUUAAACUCUUCACUCUGCCUUCUGAUUCUUCCCGCUCUGAAAUCUAACAUCAAACUGUCACCACAUAGGACAUGGAAUCUAGGGUAACCCAAAUCUUGUUCUGAGGCCAAAGUCACUCAUAUUUGGCUUCAGAAUAAAUUACUUCUUAUCCUUUUCAAGGUGAGAGCUGUGGUUAUUUUUCAACAAUGUUCAGAUUCUAGAAUCCAUGGCUGUUGGAGCUGAGAUUAAGCAGAAUUUCACCUUCUAAUUUCUAGGGUGAAAUGUUUCUUUUUCUUUGUGUGUGUGUGUGUGUGUGUGUGUAUGUAGUCCUGGCUGGCCUGGAACUCUUUAUGUAGACUAGGCUGGCCUUGAGCUCAUAGAAAUCCACCUACCUCUGCCUGCUGAGGGCUAGGAUAAAAGGUGUGGGCCUCUACAACUGGCAAAAAUAAAAGACAAAACUGUUCUUUGCUUUCAGGAACCUUCAAAGCUGGGCAUGGCAGCACUUACAUACUUUCUGCUUAGCACAGAAGCAGAGGCAGAGGCAGAGGCAAGGGAAUUGCUGCAGGUUCUAGGCUAGCAUGACUUACAUAGUUCCGUGUGAUGUAUUUCAAAAACAAAACAAAACAAAAAAACAAAGCAAACUCCACAAACAAACUAUAAAGUAGAAAGAACCGCCUUUCCAAAGAAAUCGAAUGCCUUGCUGUCUGCUUUUUGGUUGUAGAGGUGGAGCCUAUUGAGUAGAUGAGUCACGGCCUCCAAGGCCCCUGUCUAUACUCACUUCCUUUGCUGAAGGGAAUGAUCUAGAUCUGAUACUUGCCUACAACUCAGUGGGAGCCUGUGAUUUAGGGAGGAGACAGUGUUACCUCCCCCCCCUUCUCUUUCAGAAGUUCCUCAGGUCAGUAUUUCUGAAUGGCUCCUUCCCGGCAGAGGCAGAAUACCACUCAUUUGUGGGGAGAGAAAGUACCUUUAUAUGCUAUUUGCAAGCUUUGCCUGUCUUUACUGAGAACAGGAGACCCUCCCACGCUGCACAGUUUUUUUGUUUUUUUUUUUUUUUGAAGGCUCUCCUCCGGACGUUGGGAAGUCCUUCUAAGAAAGCAAGCCUUUCUUCACCUUUGAAAGGCUAUUCAGAUCCAUACUGUGUGAACCGGCUUUAUAUUCAGCUUCGUAUUGUGUGAAUCGGCCUGAAUAGUCAGGCAAAAUCUGCAUGUGAUAGUACCCCAAAGGGCACACAGCUUUUGAAAGGUAUUCAGAACAAUAACGAGAGGUAAGAACCUGAGGAAAGGGUGUAUGAGGAGUCUUUAAGUUUUAGAAUACAUGGCAAGUUCCCACAACAAAUGGCUCCCCCACCCCACCCCAUCCCAGGAUUACUUCCUGAAGUGCUUUUUAUCCCUGGUACACAUCAGGAAAUACAUGUAGUAGUUAUACUCAAUGUGUUUCCUAAGACACACACAGUAUCGCACACCUGUAAUCCCGGCACUGGGUGCCAUGUCAACCUAGGUUACUUAGGGAGACCCUGCGUUUUGUUUAAAGUACAUUUCUUCCUUCCUUCCUUCUUUUCUUCCUUCCUUCCUUUUCUUUUUUUCUAUCUUUCUUCUUUCUUUUUUUGAGACAGGGUCUCUCUCUAUAGCCCUGGCUGUCCUAAAACUCACUAUAUUGACCAGGCUGGCCUUAAACUCACUACAGUGAUCUGCCUACCUCCGCCUCCUGAGUGCUGGAAUUAAAGGUUGUUAAUCCCAUAGAUUUGAGGAAAAAGAUUACCAAUCCAAUUCAUGACCAAAUUAAUUAAAGCAAACUUUUUUUUUUAAUUCAUGUAUGUGGGCUCUUUCUCCUUAAAGGUGAGAUUCAAGAGAUCAUCAUGGAUAUGGGUAAAAUAAGUUUUUGUUUGUUUGUUUGUUUUUAUAGUUCAGGAGUAGCAGAUUUCAAAUGGGUUUGUUGGACAAAUACGCAGGGUUACAGAAACAGAACAUAAGCAUAACAAGUUUGUCAUAACAAGUGCCCGAGACUAACAAAAACAACCAAAAUGGUUUGGGAGAUGGGCUGGAGAGAUGGCUCAGAGGUUAAGAGCACUAGGCUGUUCUUCCUAAGGUCCUGAGUCAAGUUCCCAGCAACCACAUAGUGAGAUCCAGUGUCCUCUUCUGGUAUGCAGGCACACAUGCAGACAGAACACUGUAGAAAUAAUAAAUCUUUUUUAAAAGGAAGGAAAAGAAAAACAAACCUCCUGAGACAAAGACAUGGUUUCAAGGUGGUCAUAACAAGACAGCCAUACCAAGGUGGUUAUGACAAGAUGGUCAUAACAAGCUGGAACAAAGACCUGGUUACAAGGUGGUCACAGCAAGGUGGUCAUAAUAAGGUGGUCAUAACAACCUUUUGAAACAAUGGCACGGCUGCCAUUUCCUGGAACAGGCAAUACAGAACCAUGUGUAGUUAAGGUUAAGGUGGGCAGAGCCCAAUCCUUGAGAAACAGGGGUUUAAUCAUAAACAGGAAUGAGCCUAUUUUGUCCUCACUGUAAGAUGGAUUUCAACCCUAAGAUGGAGGCAGGCUGGUUUAUCAAGCUGUGACUCACCACACCCAGCCUAGGUUGCACUUCUUAUCUGUAUUUACUUUUGUUUUCUUUUGUUUAUUACUAUGUCUUAGCUUUUUAAUUUUUUUGAGAUUUAUUUAUUUUCUUUUAUUUGUCCGAGGGUUUUGCCUGCAUGUGUGUAUUUGUACCAUGGGUGUGCUUGAUGCCUCAGUAGGUCAGAGGCAUGGGAUCCAUUGGAACUGUUUUAGAAAGCUGAGGGUUUUGUUGUUGUUGUUUGUUUUGUUUUGUUUUUGAGACAGGAUCUCUCUGUGUAGCCUUGGCUGUCCUAGAACUCACUUUGUUGACCAGGCUGGCCUCAAACUCAGAGAUCUACCUGCCUCUGCCUCCUGAGUGCUAGGGUUAAAGGGGUGCAUCACCACUGCCCAGCAAAGCUCAGGCUGGCCUCAAAUUCAUUAUUCCAAGAGUGACCUUGAAUUUCUGGUUCUCUUGUCUCCCUGUUUAGUUCUGGGAUUACAAGCAUGCACCACCUCACUAGGCUUAUGCAGUGCUGGAGAUUGAACCCGGGGCUUCCAACGAGCACUUUGUUAACACAGCCGCAGUCUCAACCCCUGUGCUGUCAGUUAAAAAGUGUGAAACAGUAUGGGAAAAGAUCACCAGUUCUUAGCCGUAUGUAGCAAAUGCCUCCCCCCCACACACACACACACUACCUGCCCAGUAGCUAUGGAAUCUACCUUUUUUUUUUUUUUUUUGUAAGAUCCUUUGUGGGUUCAUCUCCUCUCUUCUCCCCUUUUUUCUUUAGGUGCUGGAGGUCCUGCCUAAGUCUCUUCUCCCCUCCUCCACUGAAAUGCUAGCCAAAUACUCAGCAAUACCCCAGGCCUGAGUGGGUUUCCUAGACAGGAAGCUGGAAAGCCAGCUUUGGGAGACAUAAAUGAAAAAAGUCAUAUACCUCAAGCUCUCUUCCAGCCACUGUAUUUCAGGAUGGGACAGAAGAAAAUGUUCCAGACAAGAAAGGGCAAUCAACUCUGAGAGACAGACCCCCAGACGCCCAGACGCCCAGGACUCAGAGGACAGAUACAGAAACACAGUCAGAUACCGAUGAAGCUGAGUCCUCUUAGAGGCCGCUGCGGGAGAAACAGAGCUCGUGCGGUGUAGCAGGAACUCUGUGAGUCGUCAGGUAACCCACCGGCGUGCGGAUCUCAGUCUUAACAAUUCCUCAGGGUCUAACUCCUCCCCCAACUUUCUACCCAGUAAAUACAUCCUGAAAGUAAGUACGCAAUUAGGUGAAGGUUUGUCCACCAAUAGACUUAAUCCUUUAUUGCCUCCCUGUGGUGAGUGGAAUUGGCGUGGCGGAGCCGAGGCCAAGAGGUGUGAAUCCAAAAGGUUAAGGCGGAUCUGCCCGGCAGUCGGCCUCUACCGUGGAGGGCCGGGGGUGCAGCCUGGCGCAGUCCAUCUCAGAACCAGCACAUCUCUGGAAGCAGAGCCAGCUGGGACGCAGCUUCGGAGGCAGAACGGUAGCGGGGGGAUGUGCUCCCCACCCCCCUCCCCCCACUCCUAGAGUAGGUUGGUCCUGGUGGAAUACCGAGAUAAAAGCCCAUCCGACCCCUGGGGUUCAGACGAGCAGGGUUUGGUUGGCCUCCUUGGGCACCGCGGAGAACACUUGGCCUUAAGAGAUCGGCCAUCUUGUCUUUGAGGGCUCAAGGUCAUCCCAGCCCUAGACUACCCUUAAAAGAUGCAAAUUUCGGAGUAUUCUUUCUUAGGAAUCCGGAAAAUCAGAGCGGCACCGCGGUGUAGCCGCAGGAGGCAGAUCCCGGCAGUUCUGCUCGUGACCAGCAGAGGGCAGCAAAGACAGUUCCUAUGCUGCUCUCUCUUUCCGUCCUUGAAAAAUAAAACAACCCGCUGUGACUCUAGAAAGAAUUUCAGACUUGUCACCCUUGGAGGCCCAGGGUCACACAGGCACCACACCCAAGCUGCUCCGAGAGAGGGAGUCGUAGAGACGCCCUUCCUGAACCACCAGCGUGGGUCACCCUGGCAGUGUGCUUUUCUGACGAAUUGUUAAGCUUGAGAUUGGGGAACUGUUGGAAAUCUCGGCCUUGUAGCCGGUUGGCUAGAAGCGGCAGUUAAGGAGCAUGGAGGGACAUCUGAACUCAGGAAGUCUUGCGAGGCUGAAAUCUUAGCCCUUGGAGCUCUCUUUGUAACCAAAGACGCCUCUGAACUCCCCCUGCAGGCUCCACUUCCCAAACGCUGGGCUUACCAGCCUGCGCCACCCCACUUGGCAGCCUGUGGGAUCUGAUGCCAGUUCCAGGUGGGUAAUAGAAUGGCGUCUGAGUUCCAACGUUUGGGAGACUCUCAGAGCUUCCGUAUCCAGAGUUAGGUGAAUUAGCCUCACCCUGGGAAAGCUACCUUUGUGAUCAUGGCUUCUCCCCUGCCUGGUAUCUCAACUGACCUCCCAAAGGUGAGGGAAGGGGCAGGCACUCUCCUGUUCCACAUAGUGGGUAUCUCUCUCUCUCUCUCUCUCUCUCUCUCUCUCUCUCUCUCUCUCUUAGUUUUUAGAGACAGGGUUUCUCUAUGUAGCCUUGACUGUCCUUCAUCAAGCUGUUAGAACAUUAGAACAUGGGAUUUGGGGUGAUUUGAAUCUGUUCAUGGGCCAUGGUCACUCACAUUUGGCCUGUGAAAAAACUACUUCGCCUUUGAGGCGUUAGCUGCGUCUUCGUGCUGCCAUGCUCCUUGUGAGUGGAGGGCUUUGUGUCUCAGAGACCCUGUCCUCAGGAGCCUGAAGAAUCGGAGGUCACGUCAUGGCCCGGCAUAUGAGACAUGGAGCAGGAUCCUCCACAAACAACCUGUCCCUACAUUCCUGAUCUCCAUAAGCUCAGAACUCCUGGAACCAGAGGAGGUCCUGGACCGCUCUUCCCAGCAGCAGAGGGGACUGAUCCCUGCGUCUCCCUGAGCAGGAUUUCGGGGCUUCAGCAACAAUAGGGCUGGACAGCAGAAGUGUGAAUGGUCGCGCUCCUUUCUUCCCCAGAAUCACUUCUGAUCUUCAGAGGAGGGUUUGCGCUGCUGGCCGGUGGCACCCUGAUUUCAGGACUGAAGGCUGUUGCGACCUGAUGAGAACUUUCCCUACAUAAGUUCACAGUAGGAACGGUAAAGGGCUGUUGCCACGGCUCACUCGGCAGGGUGUUUGCCCAGCGUACCUGAAGCUGUGUUUGACCCCCACCAUUGCCUAAAACUGGGUAUGGCAGUGUGUACCUGUGAUUGCAGCAGGACGCAGAAGCAGGUGGGUCAGAAGUUCAGGGUUAUAUUUCACUACAGAAACGAUUUGAGACUAGCUUGGACUGCAUGAAACUCUGUAGUUUCAAAAAAAAACAAACAAACAAACAAAAAAAACAACCCGAUCAAUCAACAAACAAUAAAACAAAACAACAAAAACCAAGUAAAGCAAAGAAACAAACAAACACAACCAAACCCUCCUAAACCAAAACCAAGCACAUGAAGGCUCCAUCCCACUUCUGAUGCUCACCCGCCCACUCACCCAUUCUCCUCUGCUUAGUACAUAGCAACUACAAUGGAUGGGGUGGCCUAGAGUGAAUGAGGAAGGUGCUCCCCAUCCCUUUCCAGGUGCUCCCCACCCCACUCCAGGGCUGGGGAGUGAAACCAGUAUAACCCAAACCCUAAAGCAAAGGACCCGUAUGCGUUAAAAUUUCCCCAGGAAUCCAAGGCAGGGGUGGAAAAGGCUGAAGCCCUGGUACAGGGGAGAAACUUAUCCGCAGCUGAGACUUCACACUGCUCUGACAGCUUAGCUCACAGUUAAACUGACAUGAGCAUUCCUGGCUUUCGUUUCACCUUCUCUGUAAAUCUAUAACUCUGAUCAGGAAAGGCAGAGAGAAACUAGAAAUCUUUCUCUCCCCUGUUAGGCUGAACUCUAAAUAAAUCCACAUACUUUAUCAGUGUCUAUAUCCUAAUUUCUUUGGAAUACAGGAAAACUGUUUUUGUUUGUUUGUUUUCUGAGACAGGGUUUCUCUGUAUAACCAUGGCUGUCCUGGACUCACUUUGUAGACCAGGCUGGCCUCGAACUCACAGAGAUCCACCUGCCUCUGGGAUUAAAUGUGUGCACCACCACAACCCAACUUAAUAAAGGGAAAUGUAUUCAUUUA